Molecule: transfer RNA, 93 nt
Filed under: Vitreimonas silvestris
Lineage: Bacteria; Pseudomonadati; Pseudomonadota; Alphaproteobacteria; Hyphomonadales; Hyphomonadaceae
Description: Caulobacteraceae bacterium 0127_4 tRNA-Ser
Source: RNAcentral
GCUGCGGCUGGUUCGGAGGCGGGCGUGGUUUCGGUGUUGGAGACAUCGGCGGCGAUUGCAGACGUGCUGCGCGCUUCGACAGCGCCGGCGGAU